RNAcentral lists this long non-coding RNA (252 nucleotides) under Salvia miltiorrhiza (redroot sage). RNAcentral's name for it is "long non-coding RNA (SMIL_LNC010188)". Lineage: Eukaryota; Viridiplantae; Streptophyta; Magnoliopsida; Lamiales; Lamiaceae. The record is from RNAcentral.
CUCUCUCUCUCUCUUUAAAUCGUCCGCCGUCGUGCCACCUCCAACGCCGCGUCGCCGAUCCCCUCGCUGCUGCUGCCGUCGGCUUUCUCUCUUGUUGCCGUCGACAGAUCUGGACAUUUUGGAGCUCGAUUUUGCGUCCGCCGCCUCCUCCAACUUCGAAUCUCCGUAGCGCCACCUCCUCCGACGACAGACUGCUCGAUCUCUCUCUCCCUCUACGCUGCAACAGUCGCCGCCAGCUUCCUUCAAUUUCAG